This 341-nucleotide long non-coding RNA is filed under the name Struthio camelus australis. Its description in RNAcentral is "lncRNA (ENSSCUG00000018580.1)". Lineage: Eukaryota; Metazoa; Chordata; Aves; Struthioniformes; Struthionidae. The record is from RNAcentral.
AUGACUAACAUCCUUUAUGCAGCUGAGAAGUCAGGAACUUGCCUUUCUGCUUGGACAGGUCUCUCCAGCUGCCAAAGAGCUAGAGGAAGAGUUCUGCAGCAACCCUCAGCCUCCAGAUUAGAAGGAUUAUCGGCAGAACAGGCAGGGAUCCGUGCAGUUAGACUGUCCUCAACUAUAUGGUUACUCUCAUCUUUCCAGAGAAUAACAGGCAGCAGAGCGUGAGCUGAAGCUGAGGCUGCACCACUGAUCUCUAUGGGUCUCUGUUCCCCUUCUGUAAAACAAGGAAUGAGGGUUUCUUCUCUGUUAUCUACUUGGAUUGCAACAAGGCACGUAAAAUUAUU